This 109-nucleotide ribosomal RNA is filed under the name Oreochromis niloticus (Nile tilapia). Lineage: Eukaryota; Metazoa; Chordata; Actinopteri; Cichliformes; Cichlidae. The record is from RNAcentral.
GUUUACGGCCAUACCACCCUGAACACGCCUGAUCUCGGAAGCUAAGCAGGGUCGGGCCUGGUCAGUACUUGGAUGGGAGACCGCCUGGGAAUACCAGGUGCUGUAAGCU